Molecule: long non-coding RNA, 1016 nt
Filed under: Helianthus annuus (common sunflower)
Lineage: Eukaryota; Viridiplantae; Streptophyta; Magnoliopsida; Asterales; Asteraceae
Description: sRNA HanXRQr2_Chr09g0377171
Source: RNAcentral
UGAAUCUAAUAUUAUAAACCCAUCAGUUUGAUGGACUGAAUAUGAGUGUUAAAUUUCUGCAACCAUCUUCAGCCACCGCACCACCACCAGUGCCAAAAUACCCUAGUUAUAUCCACUUUAUCAAAUCCACCACCACUGCCAAAAUACCCUAGCUAUAACACUUUAUCAUAUUCGGUGAUGAAAACGGCACACGAAAAGGAAUUGUUCGAGUUUUUGACGGUAGAUAUAGACACCGUGAAGGAUCAGAACGAUCAGAUAGAGAAGGAGGUUUAAGAUCGAUAGGUAGUCAGUGACGUGUGGUCAUCAGAAUCAAUGAUGGAAACGACGCACGAUAAGGAGUUAUUCGAGUUUUUGAUUGUAGAUCUGGACGGCUUGACGGAUCAGAGAGAAAAAGAGGUUCAAAAUUACCGGGAGUAGUUGUCUGUUGCCGGCGGCACCCUUUGAAUACCCAACCUGGACUUUAAUUGGAAUUCGAAUAGCCAAAAGUUUUUCCAAUAAAUACUUUGCCUUCACUCCCAAAUAUAUUUAAUAUUUUAUUCCAACCUACACCGUUACCGGAGUUUCAGCGGAAACUCUCUCUUGCCGGAAAAACGCACAGCACAGUUUUGGUAAGUGAGUCUUGUAUUGUUUGAAGCGGGUUUGAACGUAGAUCAAAACCUCUAAUAUAAUUUAUAUAAACACAGCGUGAUGAUUGAAUGACACCAUCAGGUUUGAGAAAUAUGAAGAUGAGAGAUUCUAGGGUUAGGGUGGGAAUUGGGGAAGAUGUGUUUAUUUAUUAAUAAACAUGUAAAAUAAAAACAUGAAAUAACUAGAAUACCUUUAAGUGUAUAGACAUAACUGAAAAUUUUAACUUGGUUAGUGCUAAAGGACAAAAAGUGUAAUGCGUUUUCCAAAUAAAGGAUUGUAACUGUAAUUAUUAAAGUUAAAGGCUAUUCAUUGCAACCAACUACAAACAUAAAGGACGAAAAGUGUAAUUUACCUAAAAAGGAAAUAAAGAAAGUUUAGGAGAGAAAGGA